GAUGAACGCUAGCGGCAGGCCUAACACAUGCAAGUCGAGGGGCAGCACGUCUUCGGAUGGUGGCGACCGGCGCACGGGUGCGUAACGCGUAUGCAACCCACCUCUUACAGUGGGAUAGCCCAGAGAAAUUUGGAUUAAUACCGCAUAGUAUACAGAUUCAGCAUUGGGACUGUAUUAAACAUUUAUGGGUAAGAGAUGGGCAUGCGUUCUAUUAGUUAGUUGGAGUGGUAACGGCACCCCAAGACAGCGAUAGAUAGGGGCCCUGAGAGGGGGAUCCCCACACUGGUACUGAGACACGGACCAGACUCCUACGGGAGGCAGCAGUGAGGAUAUUGGACAAUGGGCGAGAGCCUGAUCCAGCCAUGCGCGUGCAGGAGACGGCCU
RNAcentral lists this ribosomal RNA (384 nucleotides) under uncultured bacterium. Its description in RNAcentral is "bacterial SSU rRNA". It matches the Rfam family "Bacterial small subunit ribosomal RNA", at positions 28 to 417 of the family's 1533-position model. The record is from RNAcentral.